RNAcentral lists this ribosomal RNA (863 nucleotides) under Staphylococcus epidermidis. RNAcentral's name for it is "bacterial SSU rRNA". It matches the Rfam family "Bacterial small subunit ribosomal RNA", at positions 48 to 895 of the family's 1533-position model. Lineage: Bacteria; Bacillati; Bacillota; Bacilli; Caryophanales; Staphylococcaceae. The record is from RNAcentral.
GCUAUACAUGCAGUCGAGCGAACAGACGAGGAGCUUGCUCCUCUGACGUUAGCGGCGGACGGGUGAGUAACACGUGGAUAACCUACCUAUAAGACUGGGAUAACUUCGGGAAACCGGAGCUAAUACCGGAUAAUAUAUUGAACCGCAUGGUUCAAUAGUGAAAGACGGUUUUGCUGUCACUUAUAGAUGGAUCCGCGCCGCAUUAGCUAGUUGGUAAGGUAACGGCUUACCAAGGCAACGAUGCGUAGCCGACCUGAGAGGGUGAUCGGCCACACUGGAACUGAGACACGGUCCAGACUCCUACGGGAGGCAGCAGUAGGGAAUCUUCCGCAAUGGGCGAAAGCCUGACGGAGCAACGCCGCGUGAGUGAUGAAGGUCUUCGGAUCGUAAAACUCUGUUAUUAGGGAAGAACAAAUGUGUAAGUAACUAUGCACGUCUUGACGGUACCUAAUCAGAAAGCCACGGCUAACUACGUGCCAGCAGCCGCGGUAAUACGUAGGUGGCAAGCGUUAUCCGGAAUUAUUGGGCGUAAAGCGCGCGUAGGCGGUUUUUUAAGUCUGAUGUGAAAGCCCACGGCUCAACCGUGGAGGGUCAUUGGAAACUGGAAAACUUGAGUGCAGAAGAGGAAAGUGGAAUUCCAUGUGUAGCGGUGAAAUGCGCAGAGAUAUGGAGGAACACCAGUGGCGAAGGCGACUUUCUGGUCUGUAACUGACGCUGAUGUGCGAAAGCGUGGGGAUCAAACAGUUAGAUACCCUGGUAGUCCACGCCGUAAACGAUGAGUGCUAAGUGUUAGGGGGUUUCCGCCCCUUAGUGCUGCAGCUAACGCAUUAAGCACUCCGCCUGGGGAGUACGACCGCAAGGUU